CCGGGUUUAAACUGCGCUCGAGAGUGAUGUGCUCAUCAGUUUGGUGCAAUUAGCGCUAUAACCCGUGCCAGCGCAACCCGCGGUAAAGACAAAGCUGCAGGGGGAGGCGGUGUCAUCCGGCGGGUUCGGCACUCGGAGCCGUGGCCACCUGCGCGUGGCCGUCACGGGACAGGGGAACCCGGCUGCCGCCGCGGGCAGGGCUGCGGAGCCCGGCGAAGAGAUUUGGACCGGCUUUAUAAAUUAAACAGUAUGCGAUGACAGCUUUGGAGAGAUCUGGUGGGAGGAAAUGAGGAAAUGUCAGGAAUCCCACGUGGACUCAGUGAAUCUCUGCCAAUAACAAGGACCCCAAGAGCUACUCCCUGGAAGCCUCUGCCCCCAAGGAAACACCACCUUCCUCAUCGAUCACAAUAUCUCAGUCCAUGUGCAGCCAUUGCAGUCUUGUGCCACAGUGUCCAGCACAGACAUCUCUCUUAAUACAAGAUUAUAUGUGGUAUCCAUAAUCAGAUAUGUUGAAGAUACACACCUCCAUUUGAAAAAAAGUCCAGCAAGUCUGAAUGUUCUCAAUGAGGAACACCAAGUCCAUUGCUUUGGGUUGCCAGGGGCAGGCCCUGCUACUGGCAGAAAGAACAUUUGCUCUGCUGCCUUCCUGAUACUCUCUCAUGGCCUCUACUUUUCCUGCUGUGCCUUGAAUGCCAGUGGAGAGCAGAAAUCACAUGGAGAGGAAUUUACUCUGAGCUCUGCACCACAUCACUGCUGAUGUUUAUUCUGGAUGGGCUGAACUGUUGUGUCUAGAGAUUGCCUUCCAUUUCAUCAAGGGAGGCAGUUACUGCCUGGACCUUAAAAUAAUGCAAAACCAAUCAGUGCAUAUUCAUUGAAUUCUGAAAAAAAAAGGCAAGAGUCAUGAUCAAAAUAUUCAUAAAGGAAAGAGUCAUAGCAGAGCAAUUAUUUUGAUGGGGAAUAUAUAGUAAUUUCCACUUGGGAAGAUAACAAUAAACUGCAGUUCAAAACUUGAAAGAGUAGAGUCAGAAAUCUCUUUGGUAGCAAGGUGCUGUCUAAAGCUGGAGGAGAGUGAAAAAAGCAAUCCAGGAAAGAUGUGUUUAGCUUCCAGGCAUGCCUGUGGAAUAAAGAAGCUAAGCAGGGGAAGUGGAGAGAGAGACAGGCUGGCAGCUACUAGUGCAAGUGGAGCAACAGGCCUCUUGUACGUAAGGGCAGGGAAGUUUGGUCAGAGUGAGAGAAUGGAUUGGAAGUUCUCUUCUAGGGAGCAAUGUUCUGAAAGUAAGGGACAGUGUGAAUAACGGGAGAGGAGAUAGAGGAGAUGGAUGAGGAAGUGGGAGGGAGGAAAGCUAUCAGGUACAGCUUGGGAUUGUGAUGAACUCUAGUGGUGCAUUUUUCUUCAGAAGUUUGGUGCUAAAAGAGAUAAAAUGCUGCAGGAUGUUAAUGGCCCCUAGGGGAAGAAGGGGAUAUAGGGGUGUGGAGAGGAGAAUAAAUUACCUGUGGAUUCGCUUAUUGGUAAGAAACAUUUCAUCUCCCAUCCACAGAAUCAUGGGUUGCCUUUUUCCAUACAAGGGUUAAAAUUUACAUCACUACUGGAGAUCUGUUUAAAAGUGUGUGCAGGUUAAAUACACUGAAUCCUCAUCCCAUACACAGUAAGGCAGCUACAAGUCAAACAUAAUGACAGUGCUGAUUAAUUAGGUUCUCCUACCCCCAGCACUUGAGAGUGAUUUAUUGAGACACAUCUCUAACCUGAUCCAUUGUGCUGACUGGAUUAAUGGAGUGAGCUAGAGAAAUUCACUGGCAAUGUUAGAUACAGAGCAGGAAAGCAUUAACCCUUGGAGCUUCCUUAUCUAGCCUAUUGACAGAAUAUUAAUUAUGACAAAACAUACAUGUCUCACCUAAUUAUCUUUUGAUAACUAGGCAUAUAUUUUUAUUCAUGCAUGAUGAAGUUACUGGAGUGAAAAUCAUUUACGCAUAAACAUUUUAGGAAAAUGUGGAGAUAACGCUGAAUUUACAGGAUCCACUGUAAACAGGAGACUAUAAAUGUCUUCCUUUAAUUUGUGACAAUUUACUUUAGAUUAUUAGAACAAUUGAUGGAGCAAGCAAAAAAAAGUUAUUUUGGAAUAUAAAUUGAGGCAUCAUUAGGUUGCAUAUAUACAAACACUCACGAUGCAUUAUAAAUGCUGUGUUUUCCCUGGACUUGUCUCUAACAGGCUUAUCUUCUCAAACUUGGGCCCAUUUCAUGCAGUUAAACGGCAUUCCCUAAACCCCACUUAUAUUCCAGGUUAAUAGUUUACUCAGAACUGCAGAUAUCAGCUCCUUGUGAUUAUAACUCAGGCUGCCUGAGCUAUUUUUAAUACCUCAGAUAUCUAAGACAAGGCAGGAGCAUCCCAUGAAGUGGGAAGCAUGAGUCUCCAAACAGGAGUCUCAGGGGCUUCAGAAAUUUCAGACACAUCUUCGUAGGGGAGCAGGAUCACCAUAUCUCACAUAGGCAGUGUCUGCUUUCAGCAGUAAACAGGGCUACAAGUGUAAUUUAUUUGUCUAAUAUUGCAUAUGCUAUUUCAUAUUUGCAAGAUGAUAUUCUUCAGUCAUCAAAAGUAAAUACGAAUGAUUCCUGGUUCAGUGAACUUCUCAAUAAUUUGAAAGAUAGUUCUGUGCAAAAAAACCAGAUAGACAACAAAAAGAAAUUUUGUUUCAAGAUUUUCAAAAUUAAUCACUGCUGGUUUUAAUUUUGAUUUGACAGAGAGAUGGAGGGAAAAUAAGGUAAUUUUUUUCAUUUUUUGCCAAAUAAAUAUUAAAACCACACAAAGUUUAAAGUUUCCUAUUUGGGGAUUAAAUUAAGAGACACAGAGACACAUCUUGUUACAACUGUUCUACUUACACCAUGAAAAACAUAGAUCAGCACCACAAGGCCAGUCAUUUCAGUUUGUAACUAAGCUGCUACUGUAGAAAGAUAUAGGGUGUGUGACUGUAAAAAACAGAAUCAUGGAAUAGAAUCAUAGAAUAUUUUGGGUUGGAAGUAAUCUUUAAAGGUCUUCUAGUCCAACUCCCUUGUUGUCAGCAGGGACACCUUCCACUAGAUCAGGUUGCCAAUAGCCCUGUGCAAGCUUAUCUAGAGGGUUUUCAUGGACAAAGCAUCUACACCCUCUCUAGGCAACCUGUUCCAGUGUUUCACUACCAUUCUCGUAAAAAAUUUAUUCCUUAUAUCUAGUCAGAAUCUGCCCUCCUUUAAUUUAAAACCAUUACCCCUUGUCCUGUCUCUAGAGGCCACACUAAAAGGUCUGUCCCCAUCUUUCUUAUAAGCUUCCUUCAAGUAUUGAAAUGCUGCAAAAAGUUCUCCCAAGAGCCCUUUUUUCUCCAGGCUGAACAACACCAACUGUCAGCCUGCACUCAUAGGAGAGGUGUUCCAGCCCUCUGAUCAUUUCUAUAACCCCCCACUGGAUCUGCUCCAACAGAUCCAUGACUUUCAGCAUCCCUCUUCCUACUCCCUGCUCUUUUAUUCCAAGCGUCUACAAUGGAAGCACUUUUUCUCAGAGGAAUAGAUUAUUCUACCACAAAGUCUGUGGGGCUUUUGUGCACCAAGAUGUGGGUCUUGUGCAGGUAGAUUGUUGGAGGAUAAUUCGACCAUCUCUACUUCAUUCAAUGUGCAUUUUUGUGAUAACAACGUUGACUUAGUCUUCCCAUCAACUCAGAUGAUCUAGCUCUGUAUAAUGUCACAUACUGUGUCAUAUUUGACCACAGACCUUUCUCUGUAUAUCUUAAUGUUUCUCUUCCAGGAAUUUACUGCUAUGAGCACAAUGAAGGAGAACAGAAGUAUACUCAGAAUACUCAGAAUACUUGCUUGUUGUUUUCUGAGCCAGAAGAAAGUAAAUCCAUUCCUCUUUGUACUUUCUUUAUAUAAAUAAUUCACAUGCGGACAGAGCUACAGUGCCUUAAUUAGUACUUUUAUUCUGUAUUUUUAUGCUUUGUAAACUGGCUUUUUUUGCAAGGUCUUUCCUUGCAAAACCAAGGACAAGCUAUGACAGAAUUGGGCCAAGGACAAGCUGUAUCAGAAUUAUAGACUUAAGUUAUCUCUUAGAAAUGCAAGACCUUUCCAAGAUGGAUUAAAUUCAGCUAAAAUGAUCAGGACUUCACCAUUGCUUUAGCCUUUUGCCCUCAGGAAACUGAAGAGAAUAGAAAAAAAGUUUUCCAGACUGGGAAAUUACUCUUGUCACCCCAUGACUGAACCAUCUGCCAGGCAGACGGAGGGGACCAUGAGAUACAGGAGCAAUCUCUGCAGAAGUGGCCUUGCCCUGACAUCUGGCAGGGCAGACUGGAUUUCCCUUGAUGCAAAACUCUUGAAACAUCUAGUGACCAAGUGUGAGGCAGAAAAUGGUUGUUCAGUAAGAAUUAAUUAAUUAGAAUGUAAAGGUUUAGUAACAAAAAUGAUUUUUUUUUUUUUUUGUCACUUUGUGCUCUGGAUAGCAUGACAAUAAGGGACAGUUUGAGGAAGCUGAGCAUCAGGGCACUUUUUCAUUUUAAGUAGUGACUGGGAUUUAUAAUUUGGUUGCCUGAGAGGAAUCCGUGCUGUAAAUACUUGUAUCAAUCAGAGAAUAUGAAACAGCGACAAGAAGAAUAGGACAUGAGAAAAACAUACCAUUUUAAGCAUCAAAGAGAAGAUUCAAGUUAUAUAUUAGAGGCUGGUACGGGGGAAUGGCUAAAACACCUCUCAGGAUCCCUUUUUAAUUUUUUUUUUUUAAUGAAUACUGCUGAUAUCUGCUAGUUUGCUUUUUUGUUUGUUUUUCUGUUUUUUUUUCACACAGUAAUAAGUGUCGUUUUGGAGGCGGUGGAGAAAGAUAAAAAUUGCUUGCUUAAAUUAUUUUCUCUGCUCACAAUCAAUCUUGAAUUAUUCAUAGUAGGAAUAGGGAAGGAAGUAGGAGACUGCAAAAUGUCAAGGUUCAAGCUGUGUCAUUGUGUGCAAAAUCCUCUCUAACAGUAAUGCUAAAGGUAAGUAUAAUGUUGGCGGGAAUGCUACAAGAAAGGUUCCUUGCUGUGUGUCAUAUACUUGUUCCCUAACCAGUGUUAGAAGUCAGAGUUAAGUGGAACACAGGUCUGUUCCAAUACAGCAAUACUUAGAGACCAUAAGUAAAAAUAAUUUCAGGAUACUUAUGGUGUUUUAUAUAUA
This is a long non-coding RNA of Pipra filicauda (Wire-tailed manakin), 5158 nucleotides long. RefSeq lists it as uncharacterized. The transcript has 6 exons. The record is from RefSeq and is a predicted model, not a curated record. NCBI's taxonomy places the organism in Eukaryota, Metazoa, Chordata, Aves, Passeriformes, Pipridae.